AGAGUUUGAUCAUGGCUCAGAUUGAACGCUGGCGGCAGGCUUAACACAUGCAAGUCGAGCGGAGAUGAGGUGCUUGCACCUUAUCUUAGCGGCGGACGGGUGAGUAAUGCUUAGGAAUCUGCCUAUUAGUGGGGGACAACAUUCCGAAAGGAAUGCUAAUACCGCAUACGCCCUACGGGGGAAAGCAGGGGAUCUUCGGACCUUGCGCUAAUAGAUGAGCCUAAGUCGGAUUAGCUAGUUGGUGGGGUAAAGGCCUACCAAGGCGACGAUCUGUAGCGGGUCUGAGAGGAUGAUCCGCCACACUGGGACUGAGACACGGCCCAGACUCCUACGGGAGGCAGCAGUGGGGAAUAUUGGACAAUGGGCGGAAGCCUGAUCCAGCCAUGCCGCGUGUGUGAAGAAGGCCUUUUGGUUGUAAAGCACUUUAAGCGAGGAGGAGGCUACUUAGAUUAAUACUCUAGGAUAGUGGACGUUACUCGCAGAAUAAGCACCGGCUAACUCUGUGCCAGCAGCCGCGGUAAUACAGAGGGUGCGAGCGUUAAUCGGAUUUACUGGGCGUAAAGCGUGCGUAGGCGGCUGAUUAAGUCGGAUGUGAAAUCCCUGAGCUUAACUUAGGAAUUGCAUUCGAUACUGGUCAGCUAGAGUAUGGGAGAGGAUGGUAGAAUUCCAGGUGUAGCGGUGAAAUGCGUAGAGAUCUGGAGGAAUACCGAUGGCGAAGGCAGCCAUCUGGCCUAAUACUGACGCUGAGGUACGAAAGCAUGGGGAGCAAACAGGAUUAGAUACCCUGGUAGUCCAUGCCGUAAACGAUGUCUACUAGCCGUUGGGGCCUUUGAGGCUUUAGUGGCGCAGCUAACGCGAUAAGUAGACCGCCUGGGGAGUACGGUCGCAAGACUAAAACUCAAAUGAAUUGACGGGGGCCCGCACAAGCGGUGGAGCAUGUGGUUUAAUUCGAUGCAACGCGAAGAACCUUACCUGGCCUUGACAUAGUAAGAACUUUCCAGAGAUGGAUUGGUGCCUUCGGGAACUUACAUACAGGUGCUGCAUGGCUGUCGUCAGCUCGUGUCGUGAGAUGUUGGGUUAAGUCCCGCAACGAGCGCAACCCUUUUCCUUAUUUGCCAGCGAGUAAUGUCGGGAACUUUAAGGAUACUGCCAGUGACAAACUGGAGGAAGGCGGGGACGACGUCAAGUCAUCAUGGCCCUUACGGCCAGGGCUACACACGUGCUACAAUGGUCGGUACAAAGGGUUGCUACCUAGCGAUAGGAUGCUAAUCUCAAAAAGCCGAUCGUAGUCCGGAUUGGAGUCUGCAACUCGACUCCAUGAAGUCGGAAUCGCUAGUAAUCGCGGAUCAGAAUGCCGCGGUGAAUACGUUCCCGGGCCUUGUACACACCGCCCGUCACACCAUGGGAGUUUGUUGCACCAGAAGUAGGUAGUCUAACCGCAAGGAGGACGCUAC
Molecule: ribosomal RNA, 1454 nt
Filed under: Acinetobacter tjernbergiae
Lineage: Bacteria; Pseudomonadati; Pseudomonadota; Gammaproteobacteria; Moraxellales; Moraxellaceae
Description: bacterial SSU rRNA
Rfam family: Bacterial small subunit ribosomal RNA
Source: RNAcentral